This 352-nucleotide unclassified non-coding RNA is filed under the name soil metagenome. RNAcentral's name for it is "partial contains 5.8S ribosomal RNA, internal transcribed spacer 2, and large subunit ribosomal RNA". The stretch from base 1 to 120 matches the Rfam family "5.8S ribosomal RNA", at positions 35 to 154 of the family's 154-position model. The record is from RNAcentral.
GAUGAAGAACGUAGCGAAAUGCGAUAACUAGUGUGAAUUGCAGAAUUCCGUGAAUCAUCGAGUCUUUGAACGCACAUUGCGCCCCCUGGUAUUCCGGGGGGCAUGCCUGUCCGAGCGUCAUUGCUGCCCAUCAAGCACGGCUUGUGUGUUGGGUCGUCGCCCCCCCUCCGGGGGGGGACGGGCCCUAAAGGCAGCGGCGGCACCGCGUCCGAUCCUCGAGCGUAUGGGGCUUUGUCACCCGCUCUGUAGGCCCGGCCGGCGCUUGCCGAACGCAAAACAACCAUUCUUUCCAGGUUGACCUCGGAUCAGGUAGGGAUACCCGCUGAACUUAAGCAUAUCAAUAAGCGGAGGA